UACGAAGGGGGCUAGCGUUGCUCGGAAUCACUGGGCGUAAAGGGUGCGUAGGCGGGUCUUUAAGUCAGGGGUGAAAUCCUGGAGCUCAACUCCAGAACUGCCUUUGAUACUGAGGAUCUUGAGUUCGGGAGAGGUGAGUGGAACUGCGAGUGUAGAGGUGAAAUUCGUAGAUAUUCGCAAGAACACCAGUGGCGAAGGCGGGUCUCUGGGCCGAUACUGACGCUGAGGAGCGAAAGCGUGGGGAGCGAACAGG
RNAcentral lists this ribosomal RNA (253 nucleotides) under uncultured bacterium. Its description in RNAcentral is "partial 16S ribosomal RNA". It matches the Rfam family "Bacterial small subunit ribosomal RNA", at positions 524 to 776 of the family's 1533-position model. The record is from RNAcentral.